RNAcentral lists this ribosomal RNA (479 nucleotides) under uncultured bacterium. Its description in RNAcentral is "bacterial SSU rRNA". It matches the Rfam family "Bacterial small subunit ribosomal RNA", at positions 26 to 518 of the family's 1533-position model. The record is from RNAcentral.
AGGACGAACGCUGGCGGCACGCUUAACACAUGCAAGUCGAACGGAGUUAUUGGAGCUUGCUCUGAAUAACUUAGUGGCGGACGGGUGAGUAACACGUGAGCAACCUGCCUUUGAGAGUGGAAUAGCUUCUGGAAACGGAUGGUAAUACCGCAUAACAUUACCGGACCGCAUGAUCUGGUAAUCAAAGAUUUAUCGCUCAAAGAUGGGCUCGCGCCUGAUUAGAUAGUUGGUGGGGUAACGGCCUACCAAGUCGACGAUCAGUAGCCGGACUGAGAGGUUGGACGGCCACAUUGGGACUGAGACACGGCCCAGACUCCUACGGGAGGCAGCAGUGGGGAAUAUUGCACAAUGGGCGGAAGCCUGAUGCCAGCGAUGCCGCGUGGAGGAAGAAGGUUUUCGGAUUGUAAACUCCUUAUCUGAGGGACGAUAAUGACGGUACCUCAGGAGAAAGCUCCGGCUAACUACGUGCCAGCCGCUGC